UCGAGUGACGUUUGGAACGAAACU
Molecule: non-coding RNA, 24 nt
Filed under: Arabidopsis thaliana (thale cress)
Lineage: Eukaryota; Viridiplantae; Streptophyta; Magnoliopsida; Brassicales; Brassicaceae
Source: RNAcentral